RNAcentral lists this ribosomal RNA (392 nucleotides) under uncultured Scuticociliatia. RNAcentral describes it as "partial small subunit ribosomal RNA". It matches the Rfam family "Eukaryotic small subunit ribosomal RNA", at positions 30 to 432 of the family's 1831-position model. The record is from RNAcentral. Lineage: Eukaryota; Ciliophora; Oligohymenophorea.
GCUUGUCUCAAAGAUUAAGCCAUGCAUGUCUAAGUGUAAAUACGUCUACACUGUGAAACUGCGAAUGGCUCAUUAAAUCAGUUAUCGUUUAUUUGAUGAUCUCUUGUUACAUGGAUAACCGUAGUAAUUCUAGAGCUAAUACAUGCGUCAAGCCCCGACUCACGAAGGGGUGUAUUUAUUAGACUUAAGCCAAUAUUCCUUGUGUCUAUUGCGAUGAUUCAUAAUAACUGAUCGAAUCUCAAAUUUGAGAUAAAUCAUUCAAGUUUCUGCCCUAUCAGCUUUCGAUGGUAGUGUAUUGGACUACCAUGGCAGUAACGGGUAACGGAGAAUUAGGGUUCGAUUCCGGAGAGGGAGCCUGAGAAACGGCUACCACAUCCAAGGAAGGCAGCAGG